Molecule: ribosomal RNA, 264 nt
Filed under: Vibrio cholerae
Lineage: Bacteria; Pseudomonadati; Pseudomonadota; Gammaproteobacteria; Vibrionales; Vibrionaceae
Description: partial 16S ribosomal RNA
Rfam family: Bacterial small subunit ribosomal RNA
Source: RNAcentral
AGGAAUACCGGUGGCGAAGGCGGCCCCCUGGACAGAUACUGACACUCAGAUGCGAAAGCGUGGGGAGCAAACAGGAUUAGAUACCCUGGUAGUCCACGCCGUAAACGAUGUCUACUUGGAGGUUGUGCCCUAGAGGUGUGGCUUUCGGAGCUAACGCGUUAAGUAGACCGCCUGGGGAGUACGGUCGCAAGAUUAAAACUCAAAUGAAUUGACGGGGGCCCGCACAAGCGGUGGAGCAUGUGGUUUAAUUCGAUGCAACGCGAA